This 307-nucleotide long non-coding RNA is filed under the name Salvia miltiorrhiza (redroot sage). RNAcentral describes it as "long non-coding RNA (SMIL_LNC009284)". The record is from RNAcentral. Lineage: Eukaryota; Viridiplantae; Streptophyta; Magnoliopsida; Lamiales; Lamiaceae.
GCGACUAGGACAUGAAUUUUCAUUGAAUUGUUCAAGUCAGUUAUCAAGUUCAAACUCAAGUUAAAGUUUCAGGUGUGGGAUUUACUUAAAUACAUGUCGUGGUUAAUUGUUGUCCAUUUUAAUAUUAUGUGUUUACCAUAUGUGAGUUAUAUAAUAUCGCUAGGGGCCGGCUGAAUCGGUCCAGGACGUCACAGUCUUUGGUAUGCCACAAUGCGAUUUACAUGUUAAAGUUAUGGUUGCAACCAAUCGCCAGGGGCCGGCUGAAUCGGUCAAGGACGGAAAGGUCCUUGGUAUGCCACCGUGCGAC